RNAcentral lists this non-coding RNA (119 nucleotides) under Pragia fontium. Its description in RNAcentral is "TPP sequence". It matches the Rfam family "TPP riboswitch aptamer (THI element)". Rfam says of the family: Vitamin B(1) in its active form thiamin pyrophosphate (TPP) is an essential coenzyme that is synthesised by coupling of pyrimidine and thiazole moieties in bacteria. The previously detected thiamin-regulatory element, thi box was extended, resulting in a new, highly conserved RNA secondary structure, the THI element, which is widely distributed in eubacteria and also occurs in some archaea. Lineage: Bacteria; Pseudomonadati; Pseudomonadota; Gammaproteobacteria; Enterobacterales; Budviciaceae. The record is from RNAcentral.
CCCUUCUCAACGGGGUGCUUGUUAAAGCUGAGAAUGCAUUUGGGCUGAUAAAUCCUGAACCAUACCCGUAGAACCUGAUCCGGUUAAUACCGGCGGAGGGAUUUGAGAACCCAUUCAUC